AAUAGAUACCCGGGUAGUCCACGCCGUAAACGUUGGGCGCUAGGUGUGGGGAACCUUCCACGUUCUCCGUGCCGUAGCUAACGCAUUAAAGCGCCCCGCCUGGGGAGUACGGCCGCAAGGCUAAAACUCAAAGGAAUUGACGGGGGCCCGCACAAGCGGCGGAGCAUGCGGCUUAAUUCGAUGCAACGCGAAGAACCUUACCUAGGCUUGACAUAUACCGAAAACUCACAGAGAUGUGGGGUCCGCAAGGGCGGUAUACAGGUGGUGCAUGGUUGUCGUCAGCUCGUGUCGUGAGAUGUUGGGUUAAGUCCCGCAACGAGCGCAACCCUCGUUCUAUGUUGCCAGCACGUUAUGGUGGGAACUCAUGGGAUACUGCCGGGGUCAACUCGGAGGAAGGUGGGGAUGACGUCAAAUCAUCAUGCCCCUUAUGUCUUGGGCUUCACGCAUGCUACAAUGGCCGGUACAAUGGGCUGCGAUACCGUGAGGUGGAGCGAAUCCCAAAAAGCCGGUCCAGUUCGGAUUGAGGUCUGCAACUCGACCU
This 541-nucleotide ribosomal RNA is filed under the name uncultured bacterium. RNAcentral's name for it is "bacterial SSU rRNA". It matches the Rfam family "Bacterial small subunit ribosomal RNA", at positions 777 to 1318 of the family's 1533-position model. The record is from RNAcentral.